GGCCGGCUGGCGCAAUGGUUAGCGCAUUACUUUCCGGUGUUUUGACGUCGUCUGGUAAAGGCUGUAAGUUCGAGUCUUACGUCGGUCG
Molecule: non-coding RNA, 88 nt
Organism: Ciborinia camelliae
Lineage: Eukaryota; Fungi; Ascomycota; Leotiomycetes; Helotiales; Sclerotiniaceae
Source: the annotation of a GenBank genome assembly